UACGGGAGGCAGCAGUGGGGAAUAUUGCGCAAUGGACGAAAGUCUGACGCAGCAACGCCGCGUGAGUGAUGAAGGUCUUCGGAUCGUAAAGCUCUGUCGGCAGGAACGAUGUUUUUGAGAGCUAAUAUCUCUCAGAAUUGACGGUACCUGCAAAGGAAGCACCGGCUAACUCUGUGCCAGCAGCCGCGGUAAUACAGAGGGUGCAAGCGUUGUUCGGAAUCAUUGGGCGUAAAGGGCGCGUAGGCGGUUGAUUAAGUUGAAUGUGAAAGCCCGGGGCUCAACCUCGGAAGUGCAUUCAAACUAGUCAACUAGAGUUCCGCAGAGGAUGGUAGAAAUUCCCAGUGUAGAGGUGAAAUUCGUAGAUAUUGGGAGGAAUACCAGUGGGCGAAGGCGACCAUCUGGACGGAUACUGACGCUGAGGCGCGAAAGCGUGGGUAGCAAACAGGAUUAGAUACC
Molecule: ribosomal RNA, 456 nt
Filed under: uncultured bacterium
Lineage: Bacteria
Description: bacterial SSU rRNA
Rfam family: Bacterial small subunit ribosomal RNA
Source: RNAcentral